RNAcentral lists this ribosomal RNA (467 nucleotides) under uncultured bacterium. RNAcentral's name for it is "partial 16S ribosomal RNA". It matches the Rfam family "Bacterial small subunit ribosomal RNA", at positions 28 to 507 of the family's 1533-position model. The record is from RNAcentral.
GACGAACGCUGGCGGCGUGCUUAACACAUGCAAGUCGAACGGAAAGGCCCUUCUUUUGUGGGGUGCUCGAGUGUCAAACGUGUGAGUAACACGUUAGUAACCUGCCCUUGACUUUGGGCUAACUUCAGUAAACUGUGGCUAAUACCGCAUAGGAGCUCCUCCUCCCUGGUGGGGGCUUGAAUGUUUCUGCCGUUGGGGUUGGACUCGCGGCUUCUCAGCUUGUUGGUGGGGUAGUGGCGUACCAAGGCUUCGGCGGGACGACGGCCUGAGAGGUGACCGGCAACAUUGGGACUGAGAUGAGGCCCAGAAGACUACGGGAGGAAGCAGUGGGGAAUAUUGCACAAUGGGCGGAAGCCGGAUGCAGCAACGACGCGUGCGGGAUGAAGGACUUCGGGGGGUAAACCGCUUUCGCCUGUGAAGAAGAGUGAGUGACGGUAAUGGGUAAAGAAGCACCGGCUAACUACGUG